This 2341-nucleotide long non-coding RNA is filed under the name Equus asinus (donkey). RNAcentral's name for it is "lncRNA (ENSEASG00005025348.1)". The record is from RNAcentral. Lineage: Eukaryota; Metazoa; Chordata; Mammalia; Perissodactyla; Equidae.
UGUCCUUGUAAGAAGAGAAGAGACUCACACAGACACACAGGGAGAAGGCCGUACGACGACCAAGGCAGAGAGAGCAGUGACGUCCCUACAAGCAAGGAACACCAAGCAUUGCCACCACCCCCACAAGCUAAGGGACAGGCAUGGACAGAUUCUCCCCUGGAGCCUUCAGAUGCCCUGCUGCCAUCUUGAUUCUGGACGUGUGGCCUCCAGAACCGUGAGAGAAUAGAGAGACUGUGGCUGAAAAGUGAAGAAUUGAGUCGGGCUAGAGACCAGGGCAGCCUUCCUGUCACCAGCGCCUGAUGCAAAGUGAGACUGAUGACAGACUGCAGUCUGUUGAUUUGCUCCACCCGAAUCAGAGGACGCGCCGAGAUCUGGACAAACUUGGAGUGCGUGUAGCCUAUACCCGUGUCUGUGUUCCUGAUGCCAUACGCAGGCGUCACGACUGCCCUGUCCUGGUGGGGGUACCUGCACACCCAAAAGACCAGAGCAUCAGAAAUCACCACUAGGAAAAAGGCGCCCUGGCCUAGGCUCCAAAUUCGAGCUUUAAGAGCUGACACGAGUCUCCUUUCAAAGGUCUUUCUUGCGUCUAUUGGCUGCUUACUCUCUCAGGGAAGAAACUGUUCGUCAGUGGAAUCAAAACAAGGGAUACUUAAAAAGCUCCAGGAAAGUCGUAUUUCCUGGAGAUGGAAAAUAUUUUUCUCAAAGGGAACUGGGAAGAGGCAAGAAUUUUUAAAAGGAUGACCUAUGAAAGAGGAACGGAGCCAGAACACGAUCCAAGAGAGGCUUUCAAAGCUUACGGUGGAGGAGAAAUGGCUUGUUUGAGAUGAGGAAAGAGGCGGAACAAGGGAAGUAACUUGCCUGAGGUCACAUGGCUUGUCAGUGUCACAGGGCAAGAUUCCAUUCCAGGACUCCCGGAUUCCAGCAUCUCUGCUCCUAACCAGCCAAUCCUUGCUGUCUUCUCCUGCUGGCACGGACUCUGCUAAGAAACAGAAGGUUCAAGAUGGCGACACAGGAAGAUCCUGAACUCACCUCCCCCACAGACACACUGAAUCUACAGCUGCAUAUGGAGCAAUUUCCUCUCAAAAAAACCCUAAAAUCUAGUGGAAAGACUCCUUCGUAUUAGGGAAGUGAGAAAACAAAAAACAAAAAAACAUUGAUGCGAGUAGGAAAGGCUGAGAUAGUCUCACCAUAACCCGCCCUCCCCCCCAGCCACACACAGUGACCCAUAGCCCGAGUGAUCUUAAAACCCAGAGCUUCUCCCCGAGGAACGAAAGGUUUGUACUCCACAUCGGGCACCCCAGCUUUUAAGACCUGCACCUGAGAGAUGCGCCCCCAACACAUCCAGCUUUGAAAAGCAACAGGGCUUGGGCCCAAAAGACCCACAGGGCUGGAGAAACAUCGCUCAAAGGACUCGCUCACCCCGGGGGCCCAGUGCAGAAGCAGCCCUUGGAAAGUGCCCGACUUCCCGUGCUGGAGGUUCAUUCCUAGUUUUCAGGCCUCGGUCUCCAGGGCCCGGAGCUGGUGAGCGCCAUCUUCACCCUCUCCCUAGGCAUUGCUAGAGCCUGCGCCCCCCUCAUUUUUUUUUUUUUUUUUUUUUUUUUGACUCUAGAAGUUUUUCCCCGCAGCGGGCACCAUUUUCCUGCUCUGUCUUGCUAAAGCUGGUGGGCACCGGCUUUUCCUGUCUUUGCUUUUCUCGGCGAUGCCAUAUUUGCGCCCCGCCCCCGCCUCCCCCCAGCCACGCCAUCUUCCGCUCUCCUACUGCGCUCAAAGCGCCAUUGUCUCCUGGAAGGGAGUUUCUACAUGCGUCUGGUGUUCUGGAUUUUACCCGUGGUGACCCAGUUUUGGUGGCUACAGCCCAGGGGAAGUCCCUUGAUCGCCAGGCUCUGAAGGCCAGAGGGGCUUGCUUUCCUGGGUCCCAUGGGACUGUGACAAACGGAGAGACAGUUCUCAGCAGGCGACACCCCCAGGGCACUGCACAGAUAGAGGCUGAAACACCCCCCAUCUUUCUGGGAAAGAGGCCUAUGCGCAUGUCCAGGAGCUUUGGCCUGGGGGAGGCUUCUGGUCUGGCCCCUUCCAGGGACCUAGGGAGUGCUCUCUCAGGGAAUGGAGGGCGUGGACUCAGUCUGCGUUCUCUGCCUGGCUCCAGCUCACUGGUAUCUCAUACAGCUGCCACCCUCAAGGCACAGCAAGAGGCCACAGACCCAGGAACUCAGUCUUUCUGGGAAAGAGGGCUAUUACCUUAUCAUCGCAGCUGCUGCCUGAGGGUCUGGCUUCCAAUCAGCCUGAAUCUAGGUGCUGACUUCAAUCCUCCCCUUUGGGACACUGACCGGUCUUGGCACAC